RNAcentral lists this small nucleolar RNA (114 nucleotides) under Carlito syrichta (Philippine tarsier). RNAcentral describes it as "Small nucleolar RNA SNORA31 (ENSTSYG00000024206.2)". It matches the Rfam family "Small nucleolar RNA SNORA31". From Rfam's summary of the family: ACA31 (SNORA31) belongs to the H/ACA class of snoRNAs which are thought to guide the sites of modification of uridines to pseudouridines. Lineage: Eukaryota; Metazoa; Chordata; Mammalia; Primates; Tarsiidae. The record is from Rfam by way of RNAcentral.
UUCACAGACCUGGAGCAGUUUGUCUGCUGUUCAGGUUUCCGCUACAGAAAAAAUGUCCUUGUGCUUUCUGUCUGUCUAAUUGUGACAGCCAAGAUUGAAUAGAGAAAUAUAGGG